CAGCCGCCACGGGAAUACGGAGGGUGCAAGCGUUAUCCGGAUUCACUGGGUUUAAAGGGUGCGUAGGCGGGCAGGUAAGUCAGUGGUGAAAUCUUCGAGCUUAACUCGGAAACUGCCGUUGAUACUAUCUGUCUUGAAUAACGUUGAGGUGAGCGGAAUAUGUCAUGUAGCGGUGAAAUGCUUAGAUAUGACAUAGAACACCGAUUGCGAAGGCAGCUCACUAAACGCUCAUUGACGCUGAGGCACGAAAGCGUGGGGAUCAAACAGGAUUAGAUACCCGGGUAGUCCCUGUCUCUUAUAC
Molecule: ribosomal RNA, 301 nt
Filed under: uncultured bacterium
Lineage: Bacteria
Description: partial 16S ribosomal RNA
Rfam family: Bacterial small subunit ribosomal RNA
Source: RNAcentral